CCAGACUCCUACGGGAGGCAGCAGUGGGGAAUAUUGGACAAUGGGGGCAACCCUGAUCCAGCCAUGCCGCGUGUGUGAAGAAGGCCUUUUGGUUGUAAAGCACUUUAAGCAGGGAGGAGAGGCUAAUGGUUAAUACCCAUUAGAUUAGACGUUACCUGCAGAAUAAGCACCGGCUAACUCUGUGCCAGCAGCCGCGGUAAUACAGAGGGUGCGAGCGUUAAUCGGAAUUACUGGGCGUAAAGCGAGUGUAGGUGGCUCAUUAAGUCACAUGUGAAAUCCCCGGGCUUAACCUGGGAACUGCAUGUGAUACUGGUGGUGCUAGAAUAUGUGAGAGGGAAGUAGAAUUCCAGGUGUAGCGGUGAAAUGCGUAGAGAUCUGGAGGAAUACCGAUGGCGAAGGCAGCUUCCUGGCAUAAUACUGACACUGAGAUUCGAAAGCGUGGGUAGCAAACAGGAUUAGAUACCCUGGUAGUCCACGCCGUAAACGAUGUCUACUAGCCGUUGGGGUCCUUGAGACUUUAGUGGCGCAGUUAACGCGAUAAGUAGACCGCCUGGGGAGUACGGCCGCAAGGUUAAAACUCAAAUGAAUUGACGGGGGCCCGCACAAG
This 607-nucleotide ribosomal RNA is filed under the name uncultured bacterium. RNAcentral's name for it is "bacterial SSU rRNA". It matches the Rfam family "Bacterial small subunit ribosomal RNA", at positions 331 to 929 of the family's 1533-position model. The record is from RNAcentral.